UCCGUAGGUGGAUAAUUAAGUCAGAGGUGAAAUCCUGCAGCUCAACUGUAGAAUUGCCUUUGAUACUGGUUAUCUUGAGUCAUUAUGAAGUGGUUAGAAUGUGUAGUAUAGCGGUGAAAUGCAUAGAUAUUACACAGAAUACCGAUUGCGAAGGCAGAUCACUAAUAAUGUACUGACACUGAGGGACGAAAGCGUGGGGAGCGAACAGGAUUAGAUACCCUGGUAGUCC
RNAcentral lists this ribosomal RNA (229 nucleotides) under uncultured bacterium. RNAcentral describes it as "partial 16S ribosomal RNA". It matches the Rfam family "Bacterial small subunit ribosomal RNA", at positions 568 to 796 of the family's 1533-position model. The record is from RNAcentral.